Molecule: RNA transcript, 5821 nt
Organism: Rhinopithecus roxellana (golden snub-nosed monkey)
Lineage: Eukaryota; Metazoa; Chordata; Mammalia; Primates; Cercopithecidae
Exons: 2
Source: RefSeq, a predicted model, not a curated record
CUGUGCUGGCCAAAAAAAAGUUUUAAAAGUAAAAAAUAAAAUAAAAAGAGAAAACAGCAUAUAGGAUAACAAUAUAAAGAAAAAUUAUUCUGGCACAGCUAUAUAGUGUUGGUGUAUGAAGUUUUAUUACAGAAGAGUCAGAGUUAAAAAAAAUCAUAGUUUGUAAUAUACAAAAGUUACAGGAAGCUAAGGCUCACUUAUUACUGAAGAAAGACUUUUUAAAAUAAAUUUAGUGGAGCCUUAGUGCACAGUGUUGAUAAAGUCCACAGUAGUGUUCAGUCAAGCCUAAGCCUUCACGGUCACUCACCACACACCCAGGGCUGCGUCCAGUCCUGCCUGGACUGCUCACGGGAAGCACCCUAUACUGCGUGCCAUUUCGUAUCUUUAUGCUGCACGUUUACUGCACCUUCUUCACAUUUAGAUGUGCAGGUGGUUACUGUGGUGCUCCAGCUACUUGUGCUGCUUGGUGCUGUGGUGUGCCAUGCAGGCCUGCAGCCUGCGGGGAUGUGCCCCACUACGCAGCCGGGCACCACAGGCCCUGCCCCCUUGGUGUGUGUAUGUGUGCUCUAGCAUUGUCCCACGAUGAGACCCUGAGCCAUGGUUCCUCAGGAUGCAUCCACAUCAUUACACAGCACAUGACUAUUUUAGUAUAUCAUGCUUUUGUUUUCAUUCAUCUCAAAGAAUUUACUGAUUUCCCUUCCAUCACCUGUUGGUUGUUUAAUUUGUGAACACUUCAGUUUGCCAUGUUGCUAGCUUCCCUCUGCUAUGGUUGGAGGAGACACCUGCUGUGGAUCUGUCUCUCUAGGCUUGUUGAGGGCUGCCUCCCAGUCCGUGGCCCACCUCCCAGCCUGUGGCCCAUGGAGGCAUCUGGUACAGAGGAGAAUGGGCUCCUGUGGUUGUGGGUGGAGCGCUCUGCACAGGUCUCCUGGGCCAUGGGUUUAUAGUGCUGUGCAGGCUGCCUGUUUCUGUAUGGAUCCUCUGCCUAGCUGUUCUGUUCAUUUUGAUACAUUUGCUAGCCUUUAAAUGUGGUCAGCAGAUAUUACGCAGUCUUGGUUCAGGCUGGGAAGUGGGUUUGUGCAGCUGUUGACACCAUCUGUUGAAGGAUGAGAGAGCAAUGCCAGAGGCAGGUUCACUGGGCCAGGCAUCACCCACUGGGAGAGUGAGGCUGCAGAGUGGCCCUGGAUGGCAGGGGUCAGCACUGUGGCUGCUUCUGAGCUGUGUGUCACAGCCCUGAGUGUUGGGUCCUGUUCCUGUCCCCUCUGCACAGCAGCGUCCCGCCUCAAGUUGUAGAUGAGAGGCAAGGGGGACAGGGCCGCAGUGUACAGGGCAGAGCAUGAGGUGCCUGGCAAGUUGGGAGCAGAUUCGUUGGCCACAGCUCUGGCCGUGUUGGUUCAGGCUGGGAAGUGGGUUUUGUGGGGCUGUGGCCGACCCCUUGGAAGAGCCACAUUGUAGUGCGUUUUCAGUUUGUUUCCUAUUUUGAGGGUACCACUGAGGUUCUUCCACGUGUGAGAUGCAUCUUCAGUGGCACUCAGUUCACAUUCACUGAACACUUUAGUGAGGAUUAAUCGUCCCUCAAGCACUUGGCUCUCUUAAUGGGAAUCUCCAUCUGUGGUCUAGGAGCAGGGAGCGCUCUUGGGCAGGACAAUUUAGUCCAGGCCCGGCUCCUUACUCUGCACGGCGUUUCCUGUGCGCGCCUGGAGUGAGCUCAGCUGGCCCGGCUGACUCAAAGUCCCCUCUGAGCAGCAAGGCCUCUGUGCUCAUUGCCUCAACGCACCGCCGCGGGGGCGUCCUGAGGAGGGGGGCCCUGUGCCUGCCCCCCUGCUAGUGCACAGACCACCUUGGCCUCCAGGAAUGCAGCAGAGGGGACUCGGGCGGGCCUCAGGGUGGUCUGCGAGUGCCGAGUGUGACAGAUCGCAGCAGAGAGUGUUCUUUACAGCCUCCAGAGCUUGGCUGUGGUGAGAGCCAAUUUUCCCCCUUUACAUUCUCUGCAGCAUAUUAAUGGCCCCAACUGGUAGAACUAUUUUGAGUUGUAGACAGCUUGAUUUAUCCCAGCUCUGUUCUUAAAUGGUUGCUAAUUUCUCACUGCAAGAAAAUUCACAGUUCCUCGGUGAGUCAGCUUAAUGACACGGCCAGGGCAGCACAGCUAACAGCAGACUGCUCUCGAUGCUUGGCUUGGUGCGGUGAUGUGCCGCACUCCGGCAUUGCAAGGCGAGCCAGAGCAGACAUGUCGCGUGGGACACAAGAGCCGAUGUCCCGCAGAGUUUGGAGGCUCAAGGCCCUGCGUGCCUCUGGAGCAGCGUCUUCCCGGGCUGCUGGUGGCAGCGAAAGCACAAGCCCGGGAUGUCUUCAGGCCCCCGGCACUCAGCCUUGCCCUAAUGGUGCACGCAUGGACACACAGCAGCUUGGUAGGUGGGCCCACCCUACUUCAUUAGGCUAUUUUUCCAUAUUUAUUUUUUGUCUUUAUAAACAAAAUGGAAAUGGUGAGAACGCUAAACGCUCUUGUCUUUGUUGUGCAGGGCUUCUGGCCUAUGUCACUGUCAACCCAGACAGUGUUGGUGAUGCUUUGCUCUGAGUCUGCAGGAGCUUCAUGGAGACAGAGGCUUUCCUAGCAGGGCGGCGAGCAGAAGCUUUUCUUCCAGAACAGCCUUUGCUUAAGGGCACGAGGGAGCCGGCCAGGCCCGCAGCACACAGGGCAUCCUCCUCACAGAUGUGUUGGAGGAAAGUAGCUUUGGUGCUAUCCUAGGGGACCAUGGCCAUAAGCUGGCAGUGUCGGCCACACUCAGUUGUGUUUCUUUGUUCAGGUUGUGCCUCCUGCUGCCUGCCUAAGUCACCUAGGGCUGCUCCCCUUCCUGGCUCUGACGCGCUCAGCGGGUCCCACAAGCCGCUCAGGACCACAGAGUCUGGGCCUAGGUCUGGCCAGGCAUCCACUGACGUUCUAAGCCACAGCUUCUCUUAGGAACACUUCUCUCACGUCCGGCUCGCAGGCAUGCCCCAGGGCCUGCCUAGAUUGUACUGUCCUUCAAGCACUCCCUGCUCUAUUUCUUUGAAGUUUAUAAAAGUUUGUUUCCCCUAAAACCCAAAGCACUUUUAAUCAGGUGGUUUCUAUGGAGGUCGAACUGGCUGGAAGGAAGGCCGGUUCCUGGGUUUCUUUACUUAUGUAGCAGGGACUCAAGGAAGUCUGAUUUGCACCUGGCCUCUGACUCAGAGCCCAUGAGGGUUCCUCCGUGAGGCCACUGGCUGCCCCGGAGCUGACAGCAUCCUACACAAUGGCUAGAUGGCUUGUCACCCCAGGCCGCAGAGGAACAACUGUUUCUAGGGUUUGGCCAGACUUCACAUUCUCCGUUCUUUCCAUCCCCGUUAUGUGGAAUGCACACGAUGCCAUGUAAUUACUUCAGUCCCUUCUUAAAGGAAAAAGAAUCCGGACCCGCAUUCCAGGACACUGGCAGAUUGAAGGUUCGCUCAGGAAUGUUAUUUGUCUGCAGACCUAGCAGCCGUACAGAUCGCUCUUGUGUUUUUGCAUUAUUAAUUAACUUCAAGUGCAAUUUUGGCAGGCAGGCCAAGGGUCUCAACAGGCUAUUUGGAAUGAGUUCUCUUUUAAGGCCUUCAACGUGGUGAGACAUUUUCAAAUCAAAAAGUACAGUAGGAGCCAGCCUUUAUUUUGUCUGUGUACACAAUAAAAUAUUCCACUUCUGUAGACAGAUCAGCUGGUCUUGGUCACAAAUUAAAUGUACAUAUUAUUACUGUGCUUAUUAGGCAAAAACCGAAACUAUAGAAAAUUUUGCUAUUUCCACUGCUUUCUUAUGCACUAGAAAAAGGCAUGAAUUUGGUGUCUUUUUUAAAAAAAGGUUAUGUUCUUCUUUAUAUUCUGGGGAGAUGUCAUAGAUAAUAUUUUUAGGUUGAGAAUAAUUGUACAUACUCAUGGGUUAUGUAGUGAUGUUUUCCAUACAUGGAACAUAAAGUGAUCACAUCACACCAGGGUCACUAGCACAGCCAGCAUCUUGGGCAUACACCACUCAGCCUUGCAGAAAAGGUGGCAGACAGGAGUGCUGGCCUGCCUGGGUCUGUUGGAGAUGACCCGGGGGGACAGGCGUCAUGUGGGGAAGAUAGUGAACAGGAGUGUGGGGCUCUCGGGGUCUGUGUGGAGGUGGCCCCAGGUGGAUGGGCUUCACACCUCCCUGUGGUCCUGGUCUCCAUGUGGCUCCUGAUCUCUGAGUUGUUGCGGGUCUCUGCUGGGCCUUGCCGUGGGUAGUAUAACCUUCAUGGCGGCUUGCUAGGACUGUGUUUAAAAGAAGAUUAUGAUGUAUGUUUAAUAAUUAUUGGCAUUGAUGUAUGUCAAAUGGUACUCUGUGUCUGUUGGGUUCAGUACAGGAUUUUGUUUUCCCUAUCAUUUUUACCUUUGAACAUCUGGGUCAGGGUUGGACAGAUUAAUAUGGCUUAUUCUGCUACCCUUAGUGUCAUCCUCCCACCCAUCCAACCUUCCCUAUCGACACCUGCCUGGCCCUGCAUGCCUCCAGCUUCUGCACCUGCUGGGCCGGGGACUGUCUCCCACACCCCCACGGUGCUGGCUGCCCUCCACCGUGUGGAGAGUUUCGUUCUGUCAUUUGCAGUGUGCAUGAAACAUCUCACACUUAAGAGACAAGAGAAAGGGUUUGUGUUUCUUUUUAAUCCUGCUUUCCCAGUCCGUCUGCAGUUAGGGACCCACAUGCAGACAGGUCAUGAGCAUAGUGGCCAGGCGAGAGCUGGGACUCAAAUCUGAGCUGCCUACCCAGGUCCCCAGCUGCCCUGCUGUGGGCAGGAAUUCCACACCCACAUGCAACGCUCCCACAGGGUCAGCCAAACAGAGCACUCCACAGCCUGGAGAUGGCAGGCCAGAGUGUGGCCGCUGCACCAGGCAGGAGGUGGGGCAGGCACCUCAUCUCACCAGACCUGUACUGGCAGAGGCAGAGCCAUGACCUGACCCUGGUGCUGGGCUGCUGGCUCCCUCCUGCUGGCUCUCAGAUGGCAUCACCCAGGUAGUCACGCAAAGGCUCUUGGAUGUGUGAGACGGGGAGAUGUUGUCUCUGCUAGGGUUUGCAGAGAUGGCAGCCUCUGCUGUGAUUUUGUGCUUCUCCCCAGAUCCUGAGGAGGAUGAAGGGGCUGGCCCUGGAGGCCGAGAGUGAGCUAGAGAGACAAGACGAAGCCCUGGAUGGCAUCGCAGCAGCUGUGGACAGGGCAACCUUGACCAUCGACAAGCAUAACAGGCGAAUGAAGAGGCUGACCUAGGGGCAGAGUGUCUCUGCAUUCCUGUCUCUGCCUGCACAUCCCCCUGAGAUGGAGAGCUGGGAGUUGGUGCCAGGGCUGCAGAGACCUGUGGCCCUCCAGUGUGGUCUUCCUCUGGAUGGGGCUGCUACUAUGGGGCCACCUCCACACUAGGGGCCUCCCCAGGUGUCUGCUAUGCCUGCCCCCUACUCGGCUCUCCCUGUUGCCAGACAGGACCCGGUGACAUGUUCUGCAGAUGCCGCAGAAGUGUGGACCAUGGCGGGACCCCAAGGACACUUGGCACAGGCCUGGAAGAGGCCAAUGCACCGCCCUCGUCUUGUCUUGGCUCCCUUUCAUGGACAGACUGGCCUUCUUAGCUGUACUACGAAUUUGUGAGUGAAGUUAGAACCCAGCUCACUGAGCCAGCUCACUUUGAGGGCAUCCUAUAAACACCCAACUGUUCUUUUAUCGUCUCGGUUUUAGCCAAAAGUGAAAUUAGCAUGACUGCACUUUUCAAACAAAAAUAUUGAUUUCUGCUUUUAUGGCCCCAUUUCCAUCCAGAAAUAAAGGGAAAUGCUGGCUU